AGUGAACGCUGGCGGCGUGCUAAACACAUGCAAGUCGAACGAGAACGGAUUAUAGCUUGCUAUAAUUGUCAGCUAAGUGGCGCACGGGUGAGUAAUGUAUAGGUAAUAUGCCUCUUACUAAGGGAUAACAAUUGGAAACGAUUGCUAAUACCUUAUACUCCUUAUUAACAGAAGUUAAUAAGGGAAAGAUUUAUUGGUAAGAGAUUAGCCUGUAUUGUAUCAGUUAGUUGGUGGGGUAAUGGCUUACCAAGACUAUGACACAUAACUGGUUUGAGAGGAUGAUCAGUCACACUGGAACUGAGACACGGUCCAGACUCCUACGGGAGGCAGCAGUGGGGAAUAUUGCACAAUGGACGAAAGUCUGAUGCAGCAACGCCGCGUGGAGGAUGACACAUUUCGGUGCGUAAACUCCUUUUAUAUGAGAAGAUAAUGACGGUAUUAUAUGAAUAAGCACCGGCUAACUCCGUGCCAGCCGCCGCAGUAA
RNAcentral lists this ribosomal RNA (484 nucleotides) under uncultured bacterium. RNAcentral describes it as "partial 16S ribosomal RNA". It matches the Rfam family "Bacterial small subunit ribosomal RNA", at positions 29 to 523 of the family's 1533-position model. The record is from RNAcentral.